GGGAUGCCGUGAGCACUGUCACCUCGUGGUGCCGGAGGGAGGUUGUCCGUGGUGAGUUCGCAUUGUUUAAUGAUGC
This 76-nucleotide microRNA precursor is filed under the name Pteropus vampyrus (large flying fox). RNAcentral's name for it is "microRNA 323b (ENSPVAG00000026791.1)". Lineage: Eukaryota; Metazoa; Chordata; Mammalia; Chiroptera; Pteropodidae. The record is from RNAcentral.